Oryzias melastigma (Indian medaka) is the source of this 942-nucleotide long non-coding RNA. RefSeq lists it as uncharacterized. The transcript is spliced from 2 exons. The record is from RefSeq and is a predicted model, not a curated record. Lineage: Eukaryota; Metazoa; Chordata; Actinopteri; Beloniformes; Adrianichthyidae.
CUCAUACUUAAACAACACAUUAAAUGUUUUUUUUUUCAAAAUUGCCAUUUUUUAGGAAUUUUUAAGCAAUUUCACAACAAAUUUUUCAGAAAUUUAGGAAAACUUCAGCACUGUUUCAUAGUUCUUGAACUAAAUUUCCAAUCUUCUAGCAAAUUUAACAUUUUGCAAAUAGCUUUUGCAUUUUCAGCAAUUAAAGUAAAUUCCAUCACCCUCUUUAGUAAAAAGCUUCAGCAUCUUCAGCGAGUACUUUCAGCAAAAGGUAUUUACACCAGCAUUAUUGCAGUGAGUGACUGACUUGUCGAGCGCUGGGAUGUUCCUCUUGGCUGUGAUGGCUCUGAAUCGGAGGAUGAUGUGAAUACACAGGAAGACGGCGAUGCUGUCGUAGCAGUCGGACACGUAGGUGGACAUGCUUUUCUACAGGAGGACACAGAGAGCAUCAAUCACAACAUUUAUUUUUUUACAUAUUUGAAACAAGGCCUACUUAGAUCUUGUGUAGAUUAGUUCUGGAAAUUGUCUCGAGAGCGAAGUAAGCAGAAAAGAGGGUUAUUCUACCAGAAACAUGCUGAGAGUUUUUCCCAUGAUGCUGUUGAACAGGUCGAGGGCGGAGUUUCCGGUGACCAUGAAGAAGUCGCACAGGAAGAGGAAUUCUCUGCAGCCGUUGUCCAGCAGGGCGUAGUGCUGGCUGCGAAACAGCGUCUCAUAGGGAUACUGGCAGAAGAAACAGAAAAAUCCACAACAAAAUUAAAAAGGCAUCAUUUUUUAUAACAGAAAACAUCUUAAUAUAAAGCUUUUCUAAACAAAAAAAUCAAAUCAAACUUUAUUUAUAGAGCACUUUUCAAACACAGUAAAGCAAAGUGCUUUACAGGCUUAAAUCUUAAAUUGUGUUGUAAUUUUUACAAUUAAAAAUAGCUAAAUUUUAACCAUAAAAAAAAUGAUAAAAAA